This 1441-nucleotide ribosomal RNA is filed under the name Burkholderia sp. C112B1. RNAcentral describes it as "bacterial SSU rRNA". It matches the Rfam family "Bacterial small subunit ribosomal RNA". The record is from RNAcentral. Lineage: Bacteria; Pseudomonadati; Pseudomonadota; Betaproteobacteria; Burkholderiales; Burkholderiaceae.
AGUCGACGGCAGCACGGACUUCGGUCUGGUGGCGAGUGGCGAACGGGUGAGUAAUACAUCGGAACGUGUCCUGGAGUGGGGGAUAGCCCGGCGAAAGCCGGAUUAAUACCGCAUACGCUCUGCGGAGGAAAGGGGGGGAUCUUCGGACCUCUCGCUCAAGGGGCGGCCGAUGGCAGAUUAGCUAGUUGGUGGGGUAAAGGCCUACCAAGGCGACGAUCUGUAGCUGGUCUGAGAGGACGACCAGCCACACUGGGACUGAGACACGGCCCAGACUCCUACGGGAGGCAGCAGUGGGGAAUUUUGGACAAUGGGCGCAAGCCUGAUCCAGCAAUGCCGCGUGUGUGAAGAAGGCCUUCGGGUUGUAAAGCACUUUUGUCCGGAAAGAAAACUUCUGCCCUAAUACGGCGGGAGGAUGACGGUACCGGAAGAAUAAGCACCGGCUAACUACGUGCCCAGCAGCCGGCGGUAAUACGUAGGGUGCAAGCGUUAAUCGGAAUUACUGGGCGUAAAGCGUGCGCAGGCGGUUCGUUAAGACAGAUGUGAAAUCCCCGGGCUUAACCUGGGAACUGCAUUUGUGACUGGCGGACUCGAGUAUGGCAGAGGGGGGUAGAAUUCCACGUGUAGCAGUGAAAUGCGUAGAGAUGUGGAGGAAUACCGAUGGCGAAGGCAGCCCCCUGGGGCCAAUACUGACGCUCAUGCACGAAAAGCGUGGGGAGCAAACAGGAUUAGAUACCCUGGUAGUCCACGCCCUAAACGAUGUCAACUGGUUGUCGGGGCCUUCAUUGGCUUGGUAACGUAGCUAACGGCGGAUGGAAGUUGACCGCCUGGGGAGUACGGUCGCAAGAUUAAAACUCAAAGGAAUUGACGGGGACCCGCACAAGCGGUGGAUGAUGUGGAUUAAUUCGAUGCAACGCGAAAAGGAGCCAUAACUACAGGUGACAUGCAUGGAAUCCUGUCGUCAGCUCGUGUCGUGAGAUGUUGGGUUAAGUCCCGCAACGAGCGCAACCCUUGUCCCUAGUUGCUACGCAAGAGCACUCCAGGGAGACUGCCGGUGACAAACCGGAAGGAAGGUGGGGAUGACGUCAAGUCCUCAUGGCCCUUAUGGGUAGGGCUUCACACGUCAUACAAUGGUCGGAACCAGAGGGUCGCCCAAGCCGGCGAGGUGGGAGCCAAUCCCCAAAGAAAACCGAAUCGUAGUUCCGGAUCGCACUCUGCAACUCGAGUGCGUGAAGCUUGGAAUCGCCUAGUAAUCGCGGAAUCAGCCAUGCCGCGGUGAAUACGUUCCCGGGGUCUUGUACACACCCGCCCGUCACACCAUGGGAAGUGGGUUUUACCAGAAGUGGCUAAGUCUAACCGCAAGGGAAAGGACGGUCACCACGGUAGGAUUUCAUGACUGGGGUGAAAGUCGUAACAAGGUAGCCGUAUCGGAAGGUGCGCUGGA